This 465-nucleotide ribosomal RNA is filed under the name uncultured bacterium. Its description in RNAcentral is "partial 16S ribosomal RNA". It matches the Rfam family "Bacterial small subunit ribosomal RNA", at positions 28 to 507 of the family's 1533-position model. The record is from RNAcentral.
GACGAACGCUGGCGGCGUGCUUAACACAUGCAAGUCGAACGGAAAGGCCCCAGCUUGCUGGGGUACUCGAGUGGCGAACGGGUGAGUAACACGUGGGUGACCUGCCCUGCACUCUGGGAUAAGCCUGGGAAACUGGGUCUAAUACCGGAUAGGACCGUGCUUUAGUGUGUGCGGUGGAAAGUUUUUCGGUGCAGGAUGAGCCCGCGGCCUAUCAGCUUGUUGGUGGGGUAAUGGCCUACCAAGGCGGCGACGGGUAGCCGGCCUGAGAGGGUGUACGGCCACAUUGGGACUGAGACACGGCCCAGACUCCUACGGGAGGCAGCAGUGGGGAAUAUUGCACAAUGGGCGCAAGCCUGAUGCAGCGACGCCGCGUGGGGGAUGACGGCCUUCGGGUUGUAAACCCCUUUCGGCAGGGACGAAGCUUUUGUGACGGUACCUGCAUAAGAAGCACCGGCUAACUACGUG